Macrobrachium nipponense is the source of this 628-nucleotide long non-coding RNA. RefSeq lists it as uncharacterized. The transcript is spliced from 3 exons. The record is from RefSeq and is a predicted model, not a curated record. Lineage: Eukaryota; Metazoa; Arthropoda; Malacostraca; Decapoda; Palaemonidae.
GCUCCAAAAAGCUGACUAUAGUUGUCAUGCAAUAUUAAGAGCAGUGUGAUAUACUUUGCAAUGCACCUUUAUGAAAUGUUGAGGCAUAUGAAUUAUCUUUGUUUACAGAAUUUUUAGACUUGCUGAAUCGCCUUAAUGGAAGUACAACCGAUCACAGUCCACACAGCAAUGGCACAGCUGGAGGUGAGGGUGAUGGAGGGGGAGGAAGGAGUGGUGGAGGAGGCAGCUCUAGUGAAAACGUACGCCGACGAAAAUCAUCGACAAACGAAGAAAAGUCCAGCACUGCUGGCAGUGGUUCUCAGGCAGCUACUGGGGAAUAUACCUCAGAUCAACUAGAUUCUGUUAGGAGAAUUAGGAAGUGCAAAGAUUACUAUGAAAAUUUUAGUGUUACAAAGGAAGCAACAGAUAAUGACCUAAAGAAAGCAUAUCGUAAAUUAGCGCUUCAGUUCCAUCCAGAUAAAAACAAGGCACCGGGCGCUAGCGAAGCAUUUAAAGCCGUAGGGAAUGCAUUUGCUGUCUUGAGUGAUGCUGAAAAAAGAAAGCAGUAUGAUUUAUAUGGUCCAGAAGGAAUCCACUUCUAACCACACAGAAAACACUUACCGCCACGACUUCACUCGGGGAUAUGAAG